This 835-nucleotide ribosomal RNA is filed under the name Bacillus safensis. RNAcentral describes it as "bacterial SSU rRNA". It matches the Rfam family "Bacterial small subunit ribosomal RNA", at positions 379 to 1206 of the family's 1533-position model. Lineage: Bacteria; Bacillati; Bacillota; Bacilli; Caryophanales; Bacillaceae. The record is from RNAcentral.
AAGUCUGACGGAGCAACGCCGCGUGAGUGAUGAAGGUUUUCGGAUCGUAAAGCUCUGUUGUUAGGGAAGAACAAGUGCGAGAGUAACUGCUCGCACCUUGACGGUACCUAACCAGAAAGCCACGGCUAACUACGUGCCAGCAGCCGCGGUAAUACGUAGGUGGCAAGCGUUGUCCGGAAUUAUUGGGCGUAAAGGGCUCGCAGGCGGUUUCUUAAGUCUGAUGUGAAAGCCCCCGGCUCAACCGGGGAGGGUCAUUGGAAACUGGGAAACUUGAGUGCAGAAGAGGAGAGUGGAAUUCCACGUGUAGCGGUGAAAUGCGUAGAGAUGUGGAGGAACACCAGUGGCGAAGGCGACUCUCUGGUCUGUAACUGACGCUGAGGAGCGAAAGCGUGGGGAGCGAACAGGAUUAGAUACCCUGGUAGUCCACGCCGUAAACGAUGAGUGCUAAGUGUUAGGGGGUUUCCGCCCCUUAGUGCUGCAGCUAACGCAUUAAGCACUCCGCCUGGGGAGUACGGUCGCAAGACUGAAACUCAAAGGAAUUGACGGGGGCCCGCACAAGCGGUGGAGCAUGUGGUUUAAUUCGAAGCAACGCGAAGAACCUUACCAGGUCUUGACAUCCUCUGACAACCCUAGAGAUAGGGCUUUCCCUUCGGGGACAGAGUGACAGGUGGUGCAUGGUUGUCGUCAGCUCGUGUCGUGAGAUGUUGGGUUAAGUCCCGCAACGAGCGCAACCCUUGAUCUUAGUUGCCAGCAUUCAGUUGGGCACUCUAAAGGUGACUGCCGGUGACAAACCGGAGGAAGGUGGGGAUGACGUCAAAUCAUCAUGCCCCUUAUG